Molecule: transfer RNA, 75 nt
Filed under: Burkholderia pseudomallei
Lineage: Bacteria; Pseudomonadati; Pseudomonadota; Betaproteobacteria; Burkholderiales; Burkholderiaceae
Description: tRNA-Arg(tcg)
Source: RNAcentral
CAGCCGCUUCGAUCGGCCGCUUCGAUCGGCCGCUUCGAUCGGUCGCUUCGAUCGGUCGCUUCGAUCGGUCGCUUC